Molecule: ribosomal RNA, 345 nt
Filed under: Triticum aestivum (bread wheat)
Lineage: Eukaryota; Viridiplantae; Streptophyta; Magnoliopsida; Poales; Poaceae
Description: partial small subunit ribosomal RNA
Source: RNAcentral
AUGACUCUUGACAUGGGUGACGCUAAAAAGAAGCUUCGCAUCACUAGCGAUGGUAUACAACAAUUAUUUGGUUUCCCUCGUGGUGGUCGUUCUGCACCAAGGCCAUCAGAGGAUGGAUAUGACGAUGCUCUGAUGAAGUUAAGAACGGAGCUUGACAUUAGCAAGAACAAAGAAAUCAGUACAAAGGAUUUGAGGAAUAAGCUCAAGGUGCUCGUCAAGGAUCCUAGCAAAGAUGACCUUGCUCUGAAAGUGUUCUUCAUUAUUGUGUUUAUGAAGGUUGUGUUGCCUGGUUCUGCCCCGCGAUUCUCCAGAGAGACAUGGCUAAAAUGGAUUAUUGCCAGCUGA